RNAcentral lists this ribosomal RNA (1489 nucleotides) under metagenome. RNAcentral describes it as "bacterial SSU rRNA". It matches the Rfam family "Bacterial small subunit ribosomal RNA". The record is from RNAcentral.
UUUGAUCCUGGCUCAGAUUGAACGCUGGCGGCAUGCCUUACACAUGCAAGUCGAACGGCAGCGCGGGAGCAGUCCUGGCGGCGAGUGGCGAACGGGUGAGUAAUACAUCGGAACGUGCCCAAUCGUGGGGGAUAACGCAGCGAAAGCUGUGCUAAUACCGCAUACGAUCUACGGAUGAAAGCAGGGGAUCGCAAGACCUUGCGCGAAUGGAGCGGCCGAUGGCAGAUUAGGUAGUUGGUGAGGUAAAGGCUCACCAAGCCUUCGAUCUGUAGCUGGUCUGAGAGGACGACCAGCCACACUGGGACUGAGACACGGCCCAGACUCCUACGGGAGGCAGCAGUGGGGAAUUUUGGACAAUGGGCGAAAGCCUGAUCCAGCCAUGCCGCGUGCAGGAUGAAGGCCUUCGGGUUGUAAACUGCUUUUGUACGGAACGAAACGGCCUUUUCUAAUAAAGAGGGCUAAUGACGGUACCGUAAGAAUAAGCACCGGCUAACUACGUGCCAGCAGCCGCGGUAAUACGUAGGGUGCAAGCGUUAAUCGGAAUUACUGGGCGUAAAGCGUGCGCAGGCGGUUAUGUAAGACAGUUGUGAAAUCCCCGGGCUCAACCUGGGAACUGCAUCUGUGACUGCAUAGCUAGAGUACGGUAGAGGGGGAUGGAAUUCCGCGUGUAGCAGUGAAAUGCGUAGAUAUGCGGAGGAACACCGAUGGCGAAGGCAAUCCCCUGGACCUGUACUGACGCUCAUGCACGAAAGCGUGGGGAGCAAACAGGAUUAGAUACCCUGGUAGUCCACGCCCUAAACGAUGUCAACUGGUUGUUGGGUCUUCACUGACUCAGUAACGAAGCUAACGCGUGAAGUUGACCGCCUGGGGAGUACGGCCGCAAGGUUGAAACUCAAAGAAAUUGACGGGGACCCGCACAAGCGGUGGAUGAUGUGGUUUAAUUCGAUGCAACGCGAAAAACCUUACCCACCUUUGACAUGUACGGAAUUCGCCAGAGAUGGCUUAGUGCUCGAAAGAGAACCGUAACACAGGUGCUGCAUGGCUGUCGUCAGCUCGUGUCGUGAGAUGUUGGGUUAAGUCCCGCAACGAGCGCAACCCUUGUCAUUAGUUGCUACAUUCAGUUGGGCACUCUAAUGAGACUGCCGGUGACAAACCGGAGGAAGGUGGGGAUGACGUCAAGUCCUCAUGGCCCUUAUAGGUGGGGCUACACACGUCAUACAAUGGCUGGUACAAAGGGUUGCCAACCCGCGAGGGGGAGCUAAUCCCAUAAAACCAGUCGUAGUCCGGAUCGCAGUCUGCAACUCGACUGCGUGAAGUCGGAAUCGCUAGUAAUCGUGGAUCAGAAUGUCACGGUGAAUACGUACCCGGGUCUUGUACACACCGCCCGUCACACCAUGGGAGCGGGUUCUGCCAGAAGUAGUUAGCUUAACCGCAAGGAGGGCGAUUACCACGGCAGGGUUCGUGACUGGGGUGAAGUCGUAACAAGGUA